UGUGCAGUUUUUUUCCCUGGGAUUUGCUGUCCAGGACUUCUCUUGGGUGUUCGAGGGACCCACACCUGCAUCUUUCAAUUGUGUUCUUUUUUUUUUUUUUAAGCUUUGUUUUUGUUGGAAAGGCAGAUCUAUGGAGAGAAGGCGUGAGAGACAGAAAGAUCUAUCUGUUGAUUCACUCUCCAACUGGGACAUGAACCAGUGCUCAUGUGGGAUCCCAGCCUUUGCUGGUAGAGGAUUAGCCAGUUGAGCUAUCAAUUGCUUUCAUUUAUUUCAACCUGCCUACCUCAGGAUUCAUGAACAAGCCAGCUGCGGAGCAGAGUGCAGUGUUAAGACUUUGGACUCCUUGCUGCUGUGGUCUCCUUGGGUCUGGGUGAGCAGGGCCUCCACAGAGGGGAGAGGAAGUCAGGAGGCGUAUUCUCACCUCCUUGCCAGUGGCCUUUUCUCCUUUGGUCAGCUGUUUC
Molecule: long non-coding RNA, 461 nt
Organism: Ochotona princeps (American pika)
Lineage: Eukaryota; Metazoa; Chordata; Mammalia; Lagomorpha; Ochotonidae
Exons: 2
Source: RefSeq, a predicted model, not a curated record